RNA transcript from Leptopilina heterotoma, 1743 nucleotides. RefSeq lists it as uncharacterized. The record is from RefSeq and is a predicted model, not a curated record. Lineage: Eukaryota; Metazoa; Arthropoda; Insecta; Hymenoptera; Figitidae. The transcript has 9 exons.
GCGAGGAACGGACAAUUAUAUCGAAAUAAUUACUGAAAAUGAUUAUUUUCAAAUCAAGAAAUUGCAAAUUUUUCUGAAAAAUGAAAACAUGUUUUGUUCCGAAGCAAGAUCUGUAAGUUUCGAGAAUUACAAAGAAUGUCUAAUGUACACGAUAAAAUAUAAAAUUUCAUCUUCGUGGAAUAAAUUCGGACAGUAUCUUUGUCAAGGAAACGAUUUUUUAGCUAAGAGCGAAGAAAUCAAUGCUGUGAAAUUUGAUCUUCACAUAAUAAAGCAGGAAAUGAUGUUAAAGUUUCAAUCAUUCACGAUACAAAUUUAUCCUUUAAAACUUGAGGAUCUUGAUCUCAAUUUAUCGUUUCUGGAAGAAUUCAAACAAAAUCCUGAAGGUUUCGUUGAACUUGAUCAAACGUGGUUCAACGUUUUGCCUAGUUUAUUUAAAGCGAGACUUUUGUCCGUUUCAAAGCAAAUACCAUCGGGGACUCCAUUCAAAACUUAUCAAGAACUUCGAUUACACUGGAAAAAUAUGCACGGAUACAUACUGCCAGAGAAUAAUGAGGGAAUUUUAUAUUAUCAAGUCCACUUCAAAACAUUUCCCGAUCAAGUGUUUUUAUAUCCAGAUGUCUGUCUACACUCACAGGCUCCUAAGAUAAUUCAUCAAAAGAGUCACGGACCCACGAGCAAUAAAUUCAUAGAAGACUUGAAAAAUAAUGUCCAAUCAAUUUGUGGAAAAACUCUUUCUUUCGUGAUAGAGGAAAAGAAGGAUUUCAAAUUUAGUCCAAGUCAGAAUUUCUUCUCUGCUAAACAGGUAAAAACGGAAAAAGCAAAUUUGUUCGCUACUCCACUGUCAUCGCUAUUCAAAAAAUCCGAUGUUUCGAGAAGUGUUCCAUUCUCAUCGGUAUACAAAAAAUCAAAUUCGAAUGAAUCGACAACUAUUCCACUGUCGUCUGUAUUCAAAAAUUUAAUACCCGAUUCUUCGGAAGUUGAGGAACAAAAAUCGAUUUUGAAAUUAAAACAACAGACGUUAAAUUUCCCCAAAAAAGUGAGCAUUGCCGAAAAUCCAUCAACGAGCAAUUUGGUGGAAAAAUCGAAUGAUUCUUCGCAAGACACAACAACGAAUGUCAUGAAUAUUCUGAGUCCUCAAUUGUCAAAAAAAAUUAUGACCGAAUACACGCAAUCGCAGCCAAUCAUUAGAAAAUUAACUAUCGAUCAAAAAGGCGAAGUCGACAGUGAAGAGAAAAACGAAACUUACAACAGUAUUUUGAAUAAUACAAAUUUCAAAAAUGUUAAUGAGAAAAAACCUCCAAAGGAAAAGGAAUUAUUUAACGCUUUACUCGAGGAAAAAUCAGAUAAUGAUGUUUUCAAAUUUAUUGCUCCACCGCCAGCGAAAAAAAGUCGAAUUUCAAAACAAAAACAUUCAACAACACCAAUUACGGAAUCGAUUUCUAAAUACUUUAAAGUACAAAAGCCAAUUCAACAGAGACAAGCUCAAACUCAGGGCAACUUGCAAUUAUGGAAACUUAAGAAAGAAGAAAAAAAUCGUUAAUUUGAUACUCUGUUAAUUGUUGUCGUUAUUCUAUAAUUUAUUUUGUCGUUGAAUAUUAAUUUAUUAAUUACGAUAAGCCGAUAAGUGUACGUAAGAACAGUGACUUCCCAUCCCUGGUGCGGACGCCAAAGUUCAUUAUGAACGGUACUUAAGAAAAAACUCUUCUGCCAUUUUGUAAAACGGCCAAAUUGACAUAAACGUCG